AGUAAAUGAAAAUAACAUCUUGAUAAUGUUAUCAUGCGAGUCUGAAUAAAGCAAACAGAAGAACACAGUUCAGAACUCGCUGUGUCCCCAGCAUACUACUGGGACCUGGCUGCUGUACUCUGCAGCUGACUUCUGCCCAGAGCGCGGGUGGGCAGCCAUGGCUGGUUACACGUGUGGAAGCAGCCUCAAGGAGGCACAGCAAUUUGCCUUUGGUCACUUGGGAACUUAUCACGUCCCCCUGUCGGCCUUUUGUCCUCCUGGUUAGACCUUUAGAUUUAUCACUGUCUCCAGCUAAUUCAACCUGAAAAAUAUAGAAUAGGAAAAUAUAGCAUUAUUAUUAAAUCAGAAAAUAUAAAACUAAUUUUGGCUUUCUAUUUCUUAUCUAAAUAUAUUAAUGAAAACAUGAUUGUGCCAUGUCAAUAAAAGUAUUCUCCCUUAUUUUUUAUUUUUUCUGUGAUACUUUAUUGAUCAAAAGAAGGACUCGCUGCUAUCCAACACUUAACACCAUUAAAAAUUCAAAUUAAUAUACUGAAUCUUAAGUGUAAAUACUCCUUCAUUUUUACUACCUGUAUGACAUCCUGUCAGUUGGCUACGUCUUCAUCUAUGCAGUGCGUGCCUUUCUGUUCCACAUUUUAAUUUUGACUCUGUAUUUCUGUUAAGAGCACUGUCGUACUUGUCCUGUAGAUGAGUCUUUGUGUACCUCUUCUAUUAAUAACUGUUUCCCUAGGCUGUAUUUCUAGAAGGAAAAUUAGAAUCGUGUAGGUGUGUUCUGUAUUUUCUGUCACAUGUCUGUGGCUUCUGCACGUGUGAACUGAACAUACGCUUUCUGAUUGUGCGCCUCACUCUGCACUCUGCUCUACCUUCACGUGAUGACAUUUCUCUUUAACACCUUUUGUCCUGAAUGGUUAGCAGUUCACAGCAGCAUGUGUGUGGUAUGGGGAGGAAAGAACAAUAAAUUUGUUUGGGAAGGGGGGUGGUUUUAUUUUGGUCAUAUGUCAAAGACCUAGAUGGUUUAUUAUGUGGCCUGUUUUAUUCUUGUAAUUACUUACAAUUGAAACCCUUAUAUG
RNAcentral lists this long non-coding RNA (1067 nucleotides) under Bos taurus (domestic cattle). RNAcentral's name for it is "long non-coding RNA NONBTAT024535". Lineage: Eukaryota; Metazoa; Chordata; Mammalia; Artiodactyla; Bovidae. The record is from RNAcentral.